CGAAUCGGAUAUGCGUGAGCAAUCACGCGAAACUCGCCUGUAAUCCCGGCAUCAUCGCGAAAGCGGUGUGGCGACUUCACUUCUGCCUUCAGGCAGCCUUCA
Molecule: non-coding RNA, 102 nt
Filed under: unclassified sequences
Description: DUF3577 RNA
Rfam family: DUF3577 RNA
Source: RNAcentral